Molecule: non-coding RNA, 95 nt
Organism: Mucidula mucida
Lineage: Eukaryota; Fungi; Basidiomycota; Agaricomycetes; Agaricales; Physalacriaceae
Source: the annotation of a GenBank genome assembly
UCGGAUAUGGUGUAACAGCGAACAUUGCCGCCCUCAUUGGUUUCCCUUCCCUAAAGUGUGCGCGGCAGCUCGGGGUUCAAUUCCCCGUAUCCGAA